CCAUAGCUCAGCUGGGAGAGCGCCUGCCUUGCACGCAGGAGGUCGGCGGUUCGAUCCCGCCUGGCUCCACCAU
This 73-nucleotide transfer RNA is filed under the name uncultured Gammaproteobacteria bacterium. RNAcentral's name for it is "tRNA-Ala". It matches the Rfam family "tRNA". From Rfam's summary of the family: Transfer RNA (tRNA) molecules are approximately 80 nucleotides in length. Their secondary structure includes four short double-helical elements and three loops (D, anti-codon, and T loops). Lineage: Bacteria; Pseudomonadati; Pseudomonadota; Gammaproteobacteria. The record is from RNAcentral.